UUAAGAAAAUUGUUAGAAAAGAGACCAUUUUGAGAGAAAUGGCUGACCAGGAGAAAAGAGGGUAUGAAGGAGAGGGAAGCAAAGGCAAAGGUGGAAGCCUAAUUCCAGCAAAGAAGAAGUCAGUGAAGCAAAUGAUGGCUGAGAAAAUAAUUGAGUCUUCUUCCAAAGCUUUCAAGAAUGACAAAAAGAAGAUAAAGCCCAGAGAUGCUGAAGAUGAUGAUUAAUUAAACUUGUUCUUCUUGUUGGUAAUUAAUUUGUUUGUGUUUAGUCUUAAUCAUAUGUAUUAUUUGGUGUCAAUUGCUGCUUUAGUGUGUGAAUUUAGUUAAUUUGUUUAGUGCGUUAUAAGAAAAUUAACGCACAAAACAAUUGUACUAAAUUUAUGGAUUGAAGUUUGCAUUUCACCGAUGAAUAUUUUGUUGUGAUAUUAUAUCUUUCUAUUGGUCUCGUUGUAUUAUGGUCUGGU
Molecule: long non-coding RNA, 463 nt
Filed under: Coffea arabica (coffee)
Lineage: Eukaryota; Viridiplantae; Streptophyta; Magnoliopsida; Gentianales; Rubiaceae
Description: long non-coding RNA (CARA_LNC007253)
Source: RNAcentral